UGGUUAAAAAGCUCGUAGUUGGAUCUCGGCGGACUGAGGGCGGUUUGCUUGCUAGUAUUACUGCCCUAUAGUCCGUAGUUUUGCCAGAGGUUUCGGGGUGCUCUUAAUCGAGUGUCCCGGGAUGCUGGCAGGUUUACUUUGAAAAAAUUAGAGUGCUCAAAGCAGGCUAUUAUGCCUGAAUAUUCGUGCAUGGAAUAAUAGAAUAGGAAGUCGUUUCUAUUUUGUUGGUUUUCGGAAAUCGACUUAAUGAUUAAUAGGGACAGUCGGGGGCAUUUGUAUUCAAACGACAGAGGUGAAAUUCUUGGACCGUUUGAAGACAAACUACUGCGAAAGCAUUUGCCAAGAAUGUUUUCAUUAAUCAAGAACGAAAGUUAAAGGUUCGAAGGCGAUUAGAUACCGCCCUAGUUUUAACCAUAAACGAUGCCAGCUAGCGAUCUGCGGACGUUUUUUUUGUAGACUCCGCAGGAAGCUUCCGUGGAAACCAAGAGCAUUUGGGUUUCCAGGGGAAAGUAUGGUUGCUAAGCUGAAACUUAAAUUGAAUUGACGGAAGGGCACCACCAGGAGUGGAGCCUGUGGCUUAAU
Molecule: ribosomal RNA, 582 nt
Filed under: uncultured marine eukaryote
Lineage: Eukaryota
Description: SSU rRNA
Rfam family: Eukaryotic small subunit ribosomal RNA
Source: RNAcentral